Molecule: ribosomal RNA, 425 nt
Filed under: uncultured Actinomycetes bacterium
Lineage: Bacteria; Bacillati; Actinomycetota; Actinomycetes
Description: bacterial SSU rRNA
Rfam family: Bacterial small subunit ribosomal RNA
Source: RNAcentral
AACGCGAAGAACCUUACCUGGGCUUGACAUUUAGGGAAAAGCCGUAGAGAUACGGUGUCCUUCGGGGUCCUAAACAGGUGGUGCAUGGCUGUCGUCAGCUCGUGUCGUGAGAUGUUGGGUUAAGUCCCGCAACGAGCGCAACCCUUGUCCGAUGUUACCAGCGGGUUAUGCCGGGGACUCGUCGGAGACUGCCGGGGUCAACUCGGAGGAAGGUGGGGAUGACGUCAAGUCAUCAUGCCCCUUACGUCCAGGGCUGCACACAUGCUACAAUGGCCGGUACAACGGGCUGCUAUCCCGCGAGGGGGAGCCAAUCCCAAAAGCCGGUCUCAGUUCGGAUUGCAGUCUGCAACUCGACUGCAUGAAGUCGGAGUCGCUAGUAAUCCCGGAUCAGCAACGCCGGGGUGAAUACGUUCCCGGGCCUUGUA